UACGUAGGUGACAAGCGUUGUCCGGAUUUACUGGGCGUAAAGAGCGCGCAGGCGGUCGUUCAAGUCGAGUGUGAAAGCCCCCGGCUCAACUGGGGAGGGUCAUUCGAUACUGAUCGACUCGAAGGCAGGAGAGGGUAGUGGAAUUCCCGGUGUAGUGGUGAAAUGCGUAGAUAUCGGGAGGAACACCAGUGGCGAAGGCAGCUCGCUGGGACGGUACUGACGCUGAGACGCGAAAGCGUGGGGAGCAAACAGG
This 253-nucleotide ribosomal RNA is filed under the name uncultured bacterium. Its description in RNAcentral is "partial 16S ribosomal RNA". It matches the Rfam family "Bacterial small subunit ribosomal RNA", at positions 524 to 776 of the family's 1533-position model. The record is from RNAcentral.